Molecule: long non-coding RNA, 1484 nt
Organism: Syngnathus typhle (broad-nosed pipefish)
Lineage: Eukaryota; Metazoa; Chordata; Actinopteri; Syngnathiformes; Syngnathidae
Exons: 2
Source: RefSeq, a predicted model, not a curated record
CUGCAACGCUCCCGUACGACUCAUCUGAAAAACGGGCGUUAGCCUUUGGCGUGCGUCAAGUUGACGAGCUUAUCGAUCGGCAGGGCUGUUCGCAGGGUAAUCCUCCCCGUGUGAUUUAUCGCCCAGUGCCACGCGGCGGACGGAACCUGCUGAGCGUGCAGAGCGGGAGCGGGAUCGAUAAGAACCCUAAAACAGAUUAAACAGACGGCCGGUGGAAUCCAAAGAGCAGUGAUGGAUGCGAGCCACAUACAGUAUGGGAGUUGCAAAAAGGUCUUAGGCUUAAAAGUCUUAACCUAUGACCCCAGCUCUGCCUUCAGCAGAUCAAACCAAUGUCCUAAUGGAAACCGAAAGACAAAGGUGAGAGGACAGAUUGAUAGAGAUGAAGAAAAUAGGUGGAAGAGUUGAGCGAACCAUCGUUGUGACCACAUCGCACCUCGCUUCUUCAUCAACAGCAGACACGAUAGUGUGGCUACUCACAAGAUCUCGUCGUUCUGGAACUCCAGUACGCCGUGUGCGUCCUCAAAGUCCUCGCCGCCGCCCCGCGCCGUCCCCUCUACCGUCUUGUAGGGCAGCGUGACCACGCCGCGGGCGCCCGACGUCCUCAGCACUUUCACCUCCAUGGUGCCCACGCUCUCGCUCACGUGGAACGCGGGCUCCUCGAACGUGAAGAUUCCGGCGUGGUCGUCGUCAAAGAUGGUGACGGUGGCUGUGGCCGGCAGGCCCAGGCAGGCCACCGAGUCCACGUGGUUAGCCGACUCGUCCUCCGUGGGCUCCUCGCCUUCUGUCGUCAGGACUUUUACGUUGGACAGGUGGAUAAGGAAGUUCUCGUCCUCCUCGAAGAUGUCGUCAUCGAUGAUUCCCACGCGGAUCUCUUUGACCGUCUCGCCAGGUUUGAACACCACCACGCCCUCGGUGAACUCAUAGUCCGAGCCGGCGUUGGCUGUGCCGUCCUCGGUCCGGUACUCCACGGAAAUGGUCUUGGCCAGGUUGCCGCCGCGCCGCAUGACGUUCACUGCGACCGUGCCGCAGUUCUCCAGGCACUGGUAGGUGGCGGGUUCGAAGAACACCUUGGAAAUCGGGUCAUUGUCGCCGGCAUCGGAACACAUUUCGUGCAUGCUGACGGCCUUGCGCGCCUGGUCGGCGGCGUGUUUCUUCAGGAUGUUGCCCGCGCCCGUCAUGAGCCGGGUGGCCUGGCAGCGAUAGAAAGCCCGACUCUUUUGCUGCUGGCUCAGAACCUGGUAAUUGGCCAGUUCUAUUAGCUGCUCCACCUGGAUACAACACACACAAAGGUGUAAUAUGAGAGUCAACACUGGGACGAUGUAUUUAUUCAGCAAAAUUCUGGAGGACUUUCUCAGCGACAUAUAUUUCAUGAAGGCUGAUCACAAAAGACGUACUUGUUUAAUUUCACACUUGAUUGGUGAGCAGGCACUGCAGAGACCCAGCCAUUUGUAUACAAGCUAUUAAAAAGUCAAUUGUUCACAAUA